Molecule: non-coding RNA, 3510 nt
Organism: Chelonoidis abingdonii (Abingdon island giant tortoise)
Lineage: Eukaryota; Metazoa; Chordata; Testudines; Testudinidae
Source: RefSeq, a predicted model, not a curated record
GCUGGAGCCGGAGCCGGAGCGGGCUGUCUGUGGGCCGGGAAAUGGUGCACUGCCUCAGUUCUGUGAAGAGCUUCCACGCCAUUCCGAAGUCAGUGUACAUUAUCGAAGACUAAGCAAAGGACUGAAGACAUCAACUUUUUCCUGCUGACACAUCUCACCCCUCGUGAAGAGAUUUCUAAUGUGCUGAAGAUUCCUAGACUUUUUGGGGGAGCAAAAUCUCUACCUCAUAUUUUAUGAAUACUUUUAGCCAUGGCUGUGGAACUUUGUUUACUGCUGUUGUUGCUUUGUGGAAGUACUGUUUCAGAGGUGCAGCCUUUACACAAACCGCCUCCUGGAACUUUGGAUUUUGGGUUUGUGCCUGCGAAAACAUAUGAUACAAAUGCAUAUCAUGAACCUGGACCAAUAGGAAUUUUGUUUAGACUAGUCCAUUCUUUCCUUUAUUUAGUGCAACCAAAUUCUUUUCCACAAGAUCUCAUCAAAAAGCUAACACAGCAGAAGUUUGGAAAUGUGCAGGGUGAUUAUCAAAAGCCAGAAAAUGUUGUCCUGACUCUUCAGGCAAUCUACUAUGAGAUCGGCUUUAUAGUGUCUGCUGCUUUGGGAUUGCUAUUUGUUCUGUUACUGCCUCUUGUGGGACUGUGCUUCUGUAUGUGUCGUUGCUGUGACAACUGUGGUGGGGAAAUGCACCAACGACAGAAGAAAAAUGCUGACUGUCGGAGAGGCUGCUUUGCAGCGUUUCUUUUUGUUGCUUCUUUAAUUAUCAGUAUUGGUGUCCUUUGUGCUUAUGCUGCUAACCAGCACUUAACAAGUCAAGUCCGGGGAGCAAAGAACCUGGUGCACAGUAAUUUUAAAGACCUGAGAAUUUUCCUCAAUGACACUCCAGGGCAAAUUGACUACUUGGUGAGCCAAUAUAACACUGCCAAGAACAAAGCACUCUCCGACCUUAAUAAUGUUGGGCCAUUGCUUGGCAGCAGAGUUCAGGAGCGGUUCGCGAAAGAAGUGCGUCCUGCACUUGAUGCAGCUCUAACAAUGGCAGGAGCAAUCAGAGAAACAAAGGAGGCAUUGGAAAAUGUAAGCGUCUCUGUGGAGGUUUUGCAGGAAGGUACUGAAAGGCUGCAUUCUAACCUGACCGAUGUUAAAAUACACCUGAGCAACACACUCAGUGACUCUGCAUGCUCUGCUGCUCAAGCUGCUUCAACUUGCAACAUUAUCAGAAAUUCAUUAAAUCAACUGAAUAUCAAUGCUAACUUCAGUGGGUUGCCAGGUGUGAGCACACAGCUUGCCAAAGUCAAUGACGUCCUUAAAAUAGACCUUUCCAGUUUGGUUCAAAAGGGCUAUGCAGCCUUUAAUGAUACUCCAGAUUUAGUGCUGAACCAAACCAGGAACAUCUUAUCAGAUAUCAAAAAUUUGUUGGACCUCAUUGGUUCAAAUAUCACUAGUUUCACUCAAAUGCUUCCUGUUCAGAAGAUUCUAGCUGAUUUAACAAUAUAUCUUACUCAGAGUGAGGCAUAUGUUCAAGAUUAUUUCCCAUUAGUGGAACAGUAUGAUUUCUACAGAUGGUUGGGUUGUCUAAUUCUCUGCUGCAUGGUGAUUCUGAUCCUGGUCUUUUACUACCUUGGACUAUUAUGUGGUACUUGUGGUUAUGAUAAACAUGCAUCUCCAACAACCAGAGGCUGUAUCUCAAACACCGGCGGCAAUUUCCUUAUGGCUGGAGUAGGAUUCAGUUUCCUUUUCUCCUGGGUGCUGAUGAUGACAGUGGUCAUCACCUUCGUUACAGGUGGAAAUGUAGAAAAGCUGGUCUGCGAACCCUUUGAAGACAGGACUUUGUUCAAGGUUUUGGAUACUCCCUACUUACUGAAUCGACAUUGGAGAAACUACCUUUCUGCCAUCGUGCUUAAAAAUCCAGAUAUUAAUUUGACCUUUGAAAAAGUUUACAGUGACUGCAAAGAAAACAAAGGAAUUUAUACCACACUUCACCUAGAAAAUCUCUUCAAUAUCAAUGAGUUUCUAAACAUUAGUAUGUAUACAGAAGAUGUAUCACUGAAAAUUGAACAUAUUAAUGUAAAUCUUAGCAAUAUAGUUUUGCUGGAUGAAAUCGGAAAGCGGAAUCUUCUGGAUUUCAGUUCUUCGGGAAUAGAUGGAAUAAACUUUGCAGCAUAUUUGACAGAGAUCAAUAAAAGUGUUACCAAAGUGGAUCUUUUAUCAUUUGCUAAUGACUUGGAAGCAAGAGCGGACCAGUUGCCCAAAGGAGCACUGGAAAAUGCAUUAAAAGGACAUGCAAACAGUAUUCGAAUGAUUCAUAACCAACAAGUUGUUCCACUGGAGCAAGCUAUGAAAUAUGUAAAAGCUAGGAGCACUUUAAAUCAGAGCAUUAGAUUACUGCAGAGGACAUCAUCUGAAUUUAUGGUAAAAGUAAGAAAUGUGAUUAGUGCUGUUGAUGCUGCUCAGUUUCUCAUAAGCAACGAUGCAUCACUGGUUAUCAUCCAGGAAACCAAAAAGUACAUGGAUAUGAUAAUAGGCUACUUUGAGCAAUAUGUUGAGUGGGUCAAGGAGUCGAUUACCAUGGAGGUAGCAGCAUGCAAGCCUAUUGCCAAUGUGAUAGACACUGCAGUAGAUAUAUUUUUAUGCAGCUAUGUAAUUGAUUCUGUGAAUUCCUUCUGGUUUGGUUUGGGAGGCUGUUCGAUAUUUUUAAUUCCUGCCAUAAUUUGUGCUGUAAAACUAUCCAAAUACUAUCGUAGAAUGGAUACAGAGGAUGUGUAUGAUGAUUCCUCUGUCUCAGGGACUUGGCAUUUUACUUUAUGAUAACUGUUUUUACUUAUUUUCAUUUUGACUAUUGUUUCCUAUUUAUUUUAGCUGUUGUUCAGUAAACCUGUGCACUCCGUUUUUUCAGAUCAUUUUAUUUCACAUUGGUCAAUUUUACAUUGUACAUUCACAAAUGAAUAGAGCAGCAGCAAGACAUGUACUGCUAAGACAAAUGUUCACUUGCUAGUAUGUUUAAGUUGAUUGCUUCUCCUUUUUUUAUAUUUUUUAGUGUUGAAACUAUACCCAUGAAAAAGUAAGAUACUUUUACUGAUAUUUGUUAAAAUUAUUUUACUAAGGAGUGAGGGUUUAUAUUUAGAAUGUAAUUCUUUACUAUAAAAACUAAUGUUUUUUUGGUUUAAUUACAUUUUAUAAUGUUAAGGUACAACUGAACACAAAUCUCCAUUAAAUUGAAAAUUGAAGCAUGCUAAAAUAAGAUUUCAUAGAAUUAUUUGAUAUUAUAUAUAUCAGUGUGGUUGAAAAUUAAAGAAUAUUGUCUACUGAACAGAUCUAACUUAUUUUUACAUACAAUACCAUCAUCCAUUUACAUGUCUUUUGUAGCCAUUUUGUACAUAUUGCAUCUUAUAGUUAACAUAGUCUUUUUUGGUGUAUUUAUUUUGUUACAGUAUGGAAAAUGGUAAUAAUGGUUAUCAUAAAGAGCAUUUAUAUGGUAUACACAAUCCUGUUAUGACAAGCUCUGUGGAACAGUGGUAA